GUGAACGCUGGCGGUAGGCCUAACACAUGCAAGUCGAACGGCAGCACAGUAAGAGCUUGCUCUUACGGGUGGCGAGUGGCGGACGGGUGAGGAAUACAUCGGAAUCUACUUUUUCGUGGGGGAUAACGUAGGGAAACUUACGCUAAUACCGCAUACGACCUACGGGUGAAAGCAGGGGAUCUUCGGACCUUGCGCGAUUGAAUGAGCCGAUGUCGGAUUAGCUAGUUGGCGGGGUAAAGGCCCACCAAGGCGACGAUCCGUAGCUGGUCUGAGAGGAUGAUCAGCCACACUGGAACUGAGACACGGUCCAGACUCCUACGGGAGGCAGCAGUGGGGAUAUUGGACAAUGGGCGCAAGCCUGAUCCAGCCAUACCGCGUGGGUGAAGAAGGCCUUCGGGUUGUAAAGCCCUUUUGUUGGGAAAGAAAAGCAGCAGGUUAAUACCCCGCUGUUCUGACGGUACCCAAAGAAUAAGCACCGGCUAACUUCGUG
This 490-nucleotide ribosomal RNA is filed under the name uncultured bacterium. RNAcentral's name for it is "partial 16S ribosomal RNA". It matches the Rfam family "Bacterial small subunit ribosomal RNA", at positions 29 to 507 of the family's 1533-position model. The record is from RNAcentral.